This 425-nucleotide long non-coding RNA is filed under the name Hordeum vulgare. RNAcentral describes it as "long non-coding RNA (HVUL_LNC013605)". The record is from RNAcentral. Lineage: Eukaryota; Viridiplantae; Streptophyta; Magnoliopsida; Poales; Poaceae.
GAACACACAUCCACUUGCGAGAUUCAUAUUUCUGAGACAGAGCCACCUACUCAUGUGUUGAGAUCAAGAGAUUCCAAUCCAAUCAUUUGAAACUUGAUCUCUAGCCUCCUCAAGUUUCUUUCCACAAAAUCAAUCUCUCCUACCCGUGCCAAAUCUGUGAGAGAGUGAUUGAGUGUUGAAGAGAAUAUCUUUUCAAGCACGAGAGCAAGGAGUUCAUCGUUCUACCACAUUUAUUAACUUUUGAAGGGUGGUGCCUCCUAGAUUAGUUAGGUGUUGCUUGAGAGCCUCCUACUUCGUGUUGUGGAGUUGAACCAGGAAGUUUGUAAGGGCAAAGAGAUCGCCUACUUCGUGAAGAUCUACCGUGAGUGAGGAUAGUCCUGUGUAGAUGUAAACCAUGGUGGAAUAAACAAGGUCGCUUCUUCGUG